UAGUGUGUGUAUAUAAUGCAGUGUGUUGUAAGUGUAUAUACACUACACAAACACACUGCAUUAUAUACACACACUAU
Pelobates cultripes (western spadefoot toad) is the source of this 77-nucleotide non-coding RNA. The record is from the annotation of a GenBank genome assembly. Lineage: Eukaryota; Metazoa; Chordata; Amphibia; Anura; Pelobatidae.